GGUUAAGCGACUAAGCGUACACGGUGGAUGCCCUGGCAGUCAGAGGCGAUGAAGGACGUGCUAAUCUGCGAAAAGCGCCGGCGAGGUGAUAUGAACCUUUGACCCGGCGAUGUCCGAAUGGGGAAACCCAGUGUGAUUCGUCACACUAUCGUUAACUGAAUACAUAGGUUAACGAGGCGAACCGGGGGAACUGAAACAUCUAAGUACCCCGAGGAAAAGAAAUCAACCGAGAUUCCCCCAGUAGCGGCGAGCGAACGGGGAGCAGCCCAGAGUCUGAAUCAGCUUGUGUGUUAGUGGAAGCGUCUGGAAAGUCGCACGGUACAGGGUGACAGUCCCGUACACGAAAAUGCACAGGUUGUGAACUCGAAGAGUAGGGCGGGACACGUGGUAUCCUGUCUGAAUAUGGGGGGACCAUCCUCCAAGGCUAAAUACUCCUGACUGACCGAUAGUGAACCAGUACCGUGAGGGAAAGGCGAAAAGAACCCCGGCGAGGGGAGUGAAA
Molecule: ribosomal RNA, 502 nt
Filed under: Enterobacter roggenkampii
Lineage: Bacteria; Pseudomonadati; Pseudomonadota; Gammaproteobacteria; Enterobacterales; Enterobacteriaceae
Description: partial 23S ribosomal RNA
Rfam family: Bacterial large subunit ribosomal RNA
Source: RNAcentral